Molecule: ribosomal RNA, 183 nt
Filed under: uncultured bacterium
Lineage: Bacteria
Description: partial 16S ribosomal RNA
Rfam family: Bacterial small subunit ribosomal RNA
Source: RNAcentral
ACGCUCGACACCUACGGGAGGCAGCAGUGGGGAAUAUUGCACAAUGGGGGAAACCCUGAUGCAGCGACGCCGCGUGAGAGAGAGUNUUCGUNUAGUAAGCUCUAUCAGCAGGGAANAACGUGACGUACNGACAAGACGCGACGACUAAUACGUGCCAGACGCCGAGUAUCNGNGCGGNNGCAG